RNAcentral lists this ribosomal RNA (446 nucleotides) under uncultured bacterium. RNAcentral describes it as "partial 16S ribosomal RNA". It matches the Rfam family "Bacterial small subunit ribosomal RNA", at positions 338 to 795 of the family's 1533-position model. The record is from RNAcentral.
CCUACGGGAGGCAGCAGUCGAGAAUCAUUCACAAUGGGGGAAACCCUGAUGGUGCGACGCCGCGUGGGGGAAUGAAGGUCUUCGGAUUGUAAACCCCUGUCAUGUGGGAGCAAAUUAAAAAGAUAGUACCACAAGAGGAAGAGACGGCUAACUCUGUGCCAGCAGCCGCGGUAAUACAGAGGUCUCAAGCGUUGUGCGGAAUCACUGGGCGUAAAGGGUGCGUAGGCUGUUUCGUAAGUCGUGUGUGAAAGGCGCGGGCUCAACCCGCGGACGGCACAUGAUACUGCGAGACUAGAGUAAUGGAGGGGGAACCGGAAUUCUCGGUGUAGCAGUGAAAUGCGUAGAUAUCGAGAGGAACACUCGUGGCGAAGGCGGGUUCCUGGACAUUAACUGACGCUGAGGCACGAAGGCCAGGGGAGCGAAAGGGAUUAGAUACCCUUGUAGUC